UUAAGUGACUAAGCGUACAAGGUGGAUGCCUUGGCAAUCAGAGGCGAAGAAGGACGUGCUAAUCUGCGAAAAGCUUGGAUGAGUCGAUAAGAGGCGUUUAAUCCAAGAUGUCCGAAUGGGGAAACCCAGUAGAUGAAGAAUCUACUAUCACUUACUGAAUCCAUAGGUAAGUGAGGCAAACCGGGAGAACUGAAACAUCUAAGUACCCCGAGGAAAAGAAAUCAACCGAGAUUCCGCAAGUAGCGGCGAGCGAACGCGGAGAAGCCCAAUUAAGUUGCGUAUGAGUUAGUAGAACAUCCUGGGAAGGGUGGCCAUAGAGGGUGAUAGCCCCGUAUACGAAAGCCAUACACAAUGAAUCGAGUAGGGCGGGACACGUGAAAUCCUGUCUGAAGAUGGGGGGACCAUCCUCCAAGGCUAAAUACUCGUUGUCGACCGAUAGUGAACCAGUACCGUGAGGGAAAGGCGAAAAGAACCCUGGUGAAGGGAGUGAAAUAGAACCUGAAACCGUGUGCAUACAAGCAGUCAGAGCAUAUGAAGAUAUGUGAUGGCGUACCUUUUGUAUAAUGGGUCAGCGAGUUACAUUCAGUGGCGAGGUUAACCGAAUAGGGGAGCCGUAGCGAAAGCGAGUCUUAAUAGGGCGAUAAGUCUCUGGGUGUAGACCCGAAACCGGGCGAUCUAUCCAUGGGCAGGUUGAAGGUUGAGUAACAUCAACUGGAGGACCGAACCCACGCAUGUUGAAAAAUGCGGGGAUGACCUGUGGAUAGGAGUGAAAGGCUAAACAAGCUCGGAGAUAGCUGGUUCUCCCCGAAAACUAUUGAGGUAGUGCCUUGUAGAUUGACUUACGGGGGUAGAGCACUGUUUCGGCUAGGGGGUCAUACCGACUUACCAACCCGAUGCAAACUCCGAAUACCGUAAAGUUUUACUACAGGAGACACACGGCGGGUGCUAACGUCCGUCGUGAAGAGGGAAACAACCCAGACCGCCAGCUAAGGUCCCGAAAUGACAGUUCAGUGGGAAACGAAGUGGGAAGGCUUAGACAGCUAGGAGGUUGGCUUAGAAGCAGCCAUCCUUUAAAGAAAGCGUAAUAGCUCACUAGUCGAGUCGUCCUGCGCGGAAGAUUUACCGGGGCUAAACUGUCUACCGAAGCUGCGGAUUUGCAUGAAGAUGCAAGUGGUAGGGGAGCGUUGUGUAAGCCGAAGAAGGUGUGUUGAGAAGCAUGCUGGAGGUAUCACAAGUGCGAAUGCUGACAUGAGUAACGAUAAUGCGGGUGAAAAACCCGCACACCGAAAACCCAAGGUUUCCUGCGCAACGCUAAUCGGCGCAGGGUGAGUCGGCCCCUAAGGCGAGGCGGAAACGCGUAGUCGAUGGGAAACAGGUUAAUAUUCCUGUACUGAUCAUAAUUGCGAUGGGGGGACGGAGAAAGCUAGGCCAGCACACUGUUGGAUGUGUGUUUAAGCGCGUAGGUUGGGGAUUUAGGCAAAUCCGGGUUCCUAAGACUGAAACGUGAUGACGAGUUUCUACGGAAACGAAGUGGUUGAUGCUCUGCUUCCAGGAAAAGCCUCUAAGCUUCAGAUUAUGACAACCGUACCCCAAACCGACACAGGUGGGUAGGAAGAGAAUUCCAAGGUGCUUGAGAGAACUCGGGUAAAGGAACUCGGCAAAAUGAUACCGUAACUUCGGGAUAAGGUAUGCCUCUGAUGGUGAAUAGCUGUUGGAGGCCGCAGAGAAUAGGCCGCUGCGACUGUUUAUCAAAAACACAGCACUCUGCAAACACGCAAGUGGACGUAUAGGGUGUGACGCCUGCCCGGUGCCGGAAGGUUAAUUGAUGGGGUGCAAGCUCUUGAUCGAAGCCCCGGUAAACGGCGGCCGUAACUAUAACGGUCCUAAGGUAGCGAAAUUCCUUGUCGGGU
Molecule: ribosomal RNA, 1910 nt
Filed under: human metagenome
Description: bacterial LSU rRNA
Rfam family: Bacterial large subunit ribosomal RNA
Source: RNAcentral